CCUACGGGUGGCAGCAGUAGGGAAUAUUGCUCAAUGGGGGAAACCCCGAAGCAGCAACGCCGCGUGGAGGAUGAAGGUUUUCGGAUUGUAAACUCCUUUUGUUAGAGAAGAUAAUGACGGUAUCUAACGAAUAACCACCGGCUAACUCCGUGCCAGCAGCCGCGGUCAUACGGAGGGUGCAAGCGUUACUCGGAAUCACUGGGCGUAACGGGCGCGUAGGCGGGAUAGCAAGUCAGAUGUGAAAUCCUAUGGGUUAACCAUAGAACUGCAUUUGAAACUGUUAUUCUAGAGUAUGGGAGAGGUAGGUGGAAUUCUUGGUGUAGGGGUAAAAUCCGUAGAGAUCAAGAGGAAUACUCAUUGCGAAGGCGACCUGCUAGAACAUAACUGACGCUGAUGCGCGAAAGCGUGGGGAGCAAACAGGAUUAGAUACCCUUGUAGUC
Molecule: ribosomal RNA, 440 nt
Filed under: uncultured bacterium
Lineage: Bacteria
Description: partial 16S ribosomal RNA
Rfam family: Bacterial small subunit ribosomal RNA
Source: RNAcentral